GGCAGCAGUGGGGAAUAUUGGACAAUGGGCGCAAGCCUGAUCCAGCCAUACCGCGUGGGUGAAGAAGGCCUUCGGGUUGUAAAGCCCUUUUGUUGGGAAAGAAAAGCAGUCGGUUAAUACCCGAUUGUUCUGACGGUACCCAAAGAAUAAGCACCGGCUAACUUCGUGCCAGCAGCCGCG
Molecule: ribosomal RNA, 180 nt
Filed under: BTEX-degrading bacterium enrichment culture
Lineage: Bacteria
Description: partial 16S ribosomal RNA
Rfam family: Bacterial small subunit ribosomal RNA
Source: RNAcentral